Molecule: ribosomal RNA, 253 nt
Filed under: uncultured bacterium
Lineage: Bacteria
Description: partial 16S ribosomal RNA
Rfam family: Bacterial small subunit ribosomal RNA
Source: RNAcentral
UACGUAGGGGGCAAGCGUUGUCCGGAAUUAUUGGGCGUAAAGAGCGCGUAGGCGGUCCGUUAAGUCGGCUGUGAAAGUCAGGGGCUCAACCCUUGGAAGCCGGCCGAUACUGUCGGACUAGAGUCCGGAAGAGGCGAGUGGAAUUCCCGGUGUAGCGGUGAAAUGCGCAGAUAUCGGGAGGAACACCAAUGGCGAAGGCAGCUCGCUGGGACGGUACUGACGCUGAGGCGCGAAAGCGUGGGGAGCAAACAGG